Molecule: non-coding RNA, 318 nt
Organism: Musa acuminata subsp. malaccensis (wild Malaysian banana)
Lineage: Eukaryota; Viridiplantae; Streptophyta; Magnoliopsida; Zingiberales; Musaceae
Source: RefSeq, a predicted model, not a curated record
UAUGAGCUCUGUGAACUUGGCUAAAUGGAGCUUCUGAAUCACCACUGGGCCGGGAUUUGCAAGAACAAGCUGAAGAAUAGAUGUAAAUACUUGCUCCUAUACAGUUCUUCAAAGGCAUGGAUGCCACUUGUGUCGAUGUCUGUCACAGCUGCACAUACAAUCAGGCAGCGAAAAGAUCGAUGUCGUAAAUAUCAGAUCAAGAUUGUACAAUAAGAAUGAGAAAUAAAUAAGGACCUUCGCAAGCGAUAUAGAAACCUAUUUGUGCAGGAGAGAAAAAGAAAUCCAUGGCAAUUGAUAUCAGCAAACACAAAAAGGAAC